UUUAAAAUGCAAAACUAAAGGGUGCAUGUAUGUCCUCUGUCCAUCACCGUCACCCACAGGCCACAGCUCAACCAAAACCUUCUCUCUCCGCCUCCCUUCUCCCUCCUCUCUGUCUUUCCCAUCUCACCUCAUCACACCCUACCACUGGAGCAAUUUCGGGUUUCGAGAACCCUAACCCUUUUUAUCAGCCUAAAUCAGAUCCUACCUUUUUAUCUCCAUGUUCUGACUCCAAAGUGGUCUUCAUUUCUUGUGCCUGCAAAACAGAACACAAUUUAGUACGGGGGAAAAAGGGAAGAGUUUUUGAAUGCGAAUUGAGUUCAGGUUGUGAGAGUGGGGAAAUGCCAAGUGUAGCUGUGAAGCUCUACAGCGUGUUCUUCAAGUUCCUCUUGAAGCAGCGGUUGCAGAACCGGAUUCAAGCUUCGCCCGAUGAAGCGGACCCGUUCGGGGUCACCUCACGACCCGAUGAAUCCGUUGCCCCCUCCAAUCCUUCCUUCACCGACGGUGUUGCCACCAAGGACAUCCAUAUCGACCCCUUCACAUCUCUUACUAUAAGAAUCUUCCUUCCCGAAACUGCACUAAGGUCCCCAGAAUCAGAUGCUGCAGUCCUACCCAGACAGCCUAGACAUAGCUAUGGGAAAUCCGAUCUUGAAUCUCGAUCUUUCCAAGUUGAUACGACGAAUCGCAGUUCAGAUUCCCAUCCCUUGCGGCCUAAUAAUCAUGGUAAAAGCAAUGGUGUGGAAGGUUCAAAUUUGGCCGGCGGGGGGGUGUACAGAGGUUACUCGCCGGUACUAAAUAAUCGUCGGAAAUUGCCGGUAAUGUUGCAGUUUCAUGGUGGUGGUUGGGUUAGUGGAAGCAACGAUUCUGUCACAAACGAUUAUUUCUGUCGUCGAAUUGCAAAACUCUGCGAUGUGAUCCUUAUUUCUGUUGGGUACAGACUCGCUCCUGAAAAUCGUUAUCCGGCAGCUUUUGAGGACGGAAUGAAGGCAUUGAAUUGGUUGGCAAAGCAGGCGAACUUAGCUGAAUAUAACAAGUCGAUGGGGAUUGGACGGGGUGAUGGGACUGAGCUCAGAAAAUCAGAUACCCAUAGUCAUAUUGUGGACACGUUUGGAGCUUCAGCGGUUGAACCAUGGUUGGCCGCUCAUGGUGAUCCAUCAAGGUGCGUUCUUCUCGGGGUCAGUUGUGGUUCAAAUAUUGCAGACUAUGUAGCUCGAAAAGCUGUGGAAGCAGGCAAGUUUCUGGACCCUGUCAAGGUGGUGGCACAAGUCCUAAUGUAUCCCUUCUUUAUAGGAAGUGUACCUACUCAUUCGGAAAUAAAGUUGGCCAACUCCUACUUUUAUGACAAGUCUAUGUGUAUGCUUGCAUGGAAACUAUUCCUGCCCGAGGAAGAAUUUAGCCUGGAUCACCCGGCUGCUAAUCCCCUGGUUCCAAACCGGGGGCCUCCUCUUAAACUUAUGCCUCCGACAUUGACAGUGGUUGCAGAACAUGACUGGAUGAGGGAUCGUGCCAUUGCUUACUCAGAGGAGCUCCGGAAGGUAAAUGUCGAUGCACCUGUUCUUGAAUACAAGGAUGCAGUGCAUGAAUUUGCAACGCUCGACAUACUUCUAAAAAGCACUCAGGCUCAGGUUUGUGCAGAGGACAUUGCCAUCUGGGUUAAGAAAUAUAUUUCACUUAGGGGACAUGAAUUCUCAUAUUAGCCUUUAGGUACCUGUCUUCUAUGUCAGCUUCGGAUCACUCUCUUGCUGCUACUACCUGGCGUUUUGUGAUAUACUUGAGUUUUGCUGUCCUGAUGAGGUUUUUCUCUUGCAAGUGGCGAUGAACCUUGCGGGGACUUGAAAAUAUAAAUGGAUUGAGGUCAGAGAGUAAUGAAACCCUGCAAGAAACAAGAUUUUCAAUGGGGUGUUGAUUCUUGGACAGCUCGAAGUGAAAGAGACUACUUGCAUAGAAGUUAACAUGUUGAGAAGACCAAGGAGGAUAUAACAAAUUUGGUGAAUAAAUCAGCCAAAAUCAAAGCCUAGGGUUCCUGACAUCGUAUGCUUUGUUUUUGGUCGGCCCGAUGUGGCUGUCGUACCGAAGACCAAGGGGCCCCCCAUUUUCUUUCCGAGGAUCUAUUAUAAAUAGGCGAGGGCAUGAACAUGAUAGCCUCGGGGCUAUUAUCACAAAUCUUGAGGUAAUAACCCGCAGCAAUUUCUUUCCCAGUAGGGGAAUCAUUUGGCGGCUUGAUGCUGAUAGUCAUAGAUAGAGGAUCCUCCUCUCUCACACAGCGAUGAGAUGGAGGAAGAAGGCCCUUUAUCUAUGGUGAUCAGGCAUGGCCGUGCACCAAGCCAGUUCAGGCUUGCAGGUCUCAAUAUUGGAAGAACUUUGAGGGUCUGGGUGGCCACCUUUGUAACUCAAUACAGUUCUCAAGUCUCAGGUUUUGAUCAGCUCAUUGAUUGUCGUCCUCCUCCUCAUCUGGAUCAUAUUACUUAAGUGACGUCUCUGCCGACUCUGAUACAACAUGUGUUGAGAUGCCAAAAAUCGCUUUGUUUCGUUCAACUUUGUGGAAGAAAUUUCCAUAGAAAGAGAUCAUGGUAUUGA
Prosopis cineraria is the source of this 2574-nucleotide RNA transcript. It is a transcript of the gene named probable carboxylesterase 11, with no coding region annotated. NCBI's taxonomy places the organism in Eukaryota, Viridiplantae, Streptophyta, Magnoliopsida, Fabales, Fabaceae. The record is from RefSeq and is a predicted model, not a curated record. The transcript has 3 exons.